AUCUCCAUAGCUGCCGUCACUCUGCUCUCAUCCAAUUUCCGCCGCCUCCAAGUUCCGCCACGGCACCUCCAUUUCGUGCGCCGCCUAGCUGCCUGACGCAUCUCCCCUUCCCGCACGGCCUUUCUCUCUCACUGUCGCUCCUCGAUUUCAUGUUGCCACCCACCACUGGCGCCCAGCUCCAGCGCGGCUACCAUGGCAGCUACAGCCGCCUGAUCAUUCGCACCUUCCUUCGACCAUCACCAUCGCCUGCAGACUUCGCCAAGCAAACGCUGCAAAGGCUUUCAUCAAAGGAUUAUAGAAUAUUUCAUCAAGUUGAUUAACAAGAAACAUGGAAAGAACAUCAGCAACCACAAUAGACCACUUGGAAAACUGAGGGAAGCUGAACGUGCCAAAAGAGAUUUAAGCAGCCAGCAGCAAGUUAGGACUCAUGCUUGAUUUGACGAGUUGAACAAUGACCUCUUUAGCAAAAACAUGGGACUUGUCAAGAAGGCUAUGGGGGAUGCUGGUUUGGAGAACCACCAGAUGCAUGAAAUUGUUCCUGUUAGUGGGGCUACCAGGAUCCCAAAAGUCCAAUAACUUCUCAAGGACUACUUUGAUGGAAAGGAACCCAACAAGAGUGUAAAACCAGAUGAAGCAGUGGCUUAUGGGGGUGGUGUUCAAGGAGGUAUUCUAAGCCGGAAAGGUGGUGAUGAAAGCAAAGAUAAAUGCUAUUCAUACUAGCUUUUGGAAGAUAUCUAUGG
Molecule: long non-coding RNA, 740 nt
Organism: Coffea arabica (coffee)
Lineage: Eukaryota; Viridiplantae; Streptophyta; Magnoliopsida; Gentianales; Rubiaceae
Source: RefSeq, a predicted model, not a curated record